AUAUCAAUGUUAAGUAUUUAUACCAUUUUCGAAGUUUUGACAGAAGUUAUAAAGAAUACAAGUAAUGGAAAAAUAAAUCUACAGAAAGCACAAACAAAAACAAACAGUAAUGGAGGAAAUCUUUAACCAAGAGCGGAAACAAGAAAAGAAACACCGAUUCCGAGAAGCUAAACUCGAAAAUUUCAGUGAUUUCCACAACUCGAAAAUACCAAGGAGCUGGAAUCUCAUCUUACUUGCCACGAGCAAACCUUAGCAGAGGUCCGUCCUCAAAACCUCUCGAGUAAGGCACAUUAACUUCUCUUCAAACUAACGCAAAACGUAAAGAUAAUAGAGAACUUAAACACAAAUCCGACGAAGUCCUCUUGACAAGAAGAUGGAGGGUUGUUCUCGUACUCGCUUGGCGGGAUGGGCAUUCUUAGUUGUUUAAAACU
This 431-nucleotide small RNA is filed under the name Arabidopsis thaliana (thale cress). RNAcentral's name for it is "ATSL217770". The record is from RNAcentral. Lineage: Eukaryota; Viridiplantae; Streptophyta; Magnoliopsida; Brassicales; Brassicaceae.